UACGUAGGGUGCGAGCGUUAAUCGGAAUUACUGGGCGUAAAGCGUGCGCAGGCGGUUCGUUAAGUCGGAUGUGAAAGCCCUCGGCUCAACUGAGGAAGUGCACCCGAAACUGGCGAGCUUGAGUACGAAAGAGGAUCGCGGAAUUCCCGGUGUAGAGGUGAAAUUCGUAGAUAUCGGGAGGAACACCGGUGGCGAAGGCAGGUCUCUGGGCCGUAACUGACGCUGAGGAGCGAAAGCGUGGGGAGCGAACAGG
This 253-nucleotide ribosomal RNA is filed under the name uncultured bacterium. Its description in RNAcentral is "partial 16S ribosomal RNA". It matches the Rfam family "Bacterial small subunit ribosomal RNA", at positions 524 to 776 of the family's 1533-position model. The record is from RNAcentral.